UACGUAGGGGGCAAGCGUUGUCCGGAAUCAUUGGGCGUAAAGAGCGCGUAGGCGGUCCGGUGAGUCCGUUGUGAAAGUCCAGGGCUCAACCCUGGAAUGCCGAUGGAUACUGCGGAGCUAGAGUCCGGAAGAGGCGAGUGGAAUUCCUGGUGUAGCGGUGAAAUGCGCAGAUAUCAGGAAGAACACCCGUGGCGAAGGCGGCUCUCUGGGACGGUACUGACGCUGAGACGCGAAAGCGUGGGGAGCGAACAGG
Molecule: ribosomal RNA, 253 nt
Filed under: uncultured bacterium
Lineage: Bacteria
Description: partial 16S ribosomal RNA
Rfam family: Bacterial small subunit ribosomal RNA
Source: RNAcentral